CGGCAGCGCCGGGCACAGCGAGGGCUUUUCUCCUCGUCUUUCUCUCCCCUAAAUCCUGUGCUCCCCUUGGAAAACCGCCCGCUCUGUCGGGGAGGGUGCGCUGCUCGCCGUCAGCAGGAUAGGUUUGGGUUGCUUUUUGGUUUGUAACGAGGGCAGGAGGUGAGACAAUGAUCAAGUCAAGUUGGUUCUACGUCAAGUUCAAGCAUGCAGAGAAGCCCUUGCAGUUCAUUCAGAAAGCCCUCGAGUCCCUGAACACAGCAGAUAAUGUUCCUGCUUUGCUGUCACCGGGUGAUUCUCUGUGUGUGUUACAUAACCUGUCAUACCAGCUUUGUCAGAGACAGAUAUUUUUGAGAUCUACAACCUGGGAAAUUUGAUCAUGGAUGAAAUCCAGGAAGCCCAUUUAAUCUGUAUUCUUAGAGUUACUUGUGCCUUUACAAGACUUUCUUCCGAUUCACCAGGGAAGUUGCCAAGUCUGUUCAUCUGUUGGGGGGGGGGAAUCCCCAAACCAUAAUGCACACACUUAGGAAGACAAAAACUGAAGUGCAUGUCUGGUCUUUUAUUGGAUUUCCUGUGUGAUAAGAGACUGUUAUCCAUUUGGGUUGAAGUGGGGGUUUCUUAAUGGGAGGCUCAGGAGAAAUUUUGGUCUUGGCUAUGAGGUGGGGCUGUCCCCCUCACUGAACGCAGGAUUUUGUGUCAACGUUCUUAUUGUGGCUGGGGCUUCUUCUGCAUUAGCUUCAAGUCUUGUCUGCCUGUGAAAGUUGUACUAGUAUGGCUUGGGUGUGAAUUGACGCUGAAUGUAUUAAACUGGUGCAGUUCUCUGGCGGGGCUCUCUGGGUACACACUCUGUCAAACAAGUGUUUCUGUGAUAGUGUAACCACAGUGGCUUAAAAAAUUAGGUCAAAUUCUUUUGCAACUUCUCUGUGUUGUCAAGGUUUUAGAAAUUGGGUUUAUGUGAGCUAAGCUGAAGAACCUUUGAAAUUCUCAAACCAGCUUUUUAUGGCAGUUUGUCUAAGUGGAUUUAGAAUCUCACUUGGAGAUGCAGUUUCUCCUUUUCAGCUGACACAAGUGUGGGCUGCUGCAGGAAUGAGUGCUCCCACUCCCAGUUGUCAGCAGUAGUGUUUGUGCAGCCACCUGGGGAAGUGACCCAACCCAAACUGAAGGGGUUUUAUUCCUUUUUUGGGCUGGCUUUGUUUUCAGGCAGGUCAGAUGUGUCCCAGCUCACCACAAGUGUACAGCAAGGUGUAGCUGGGAAUACCUGGGUGAGUGUGAGUAGAAAGGACAGUGAUGUCUCUCCUGGCAGCAGCCUGUGAAAAUUAAAUUAAUUUAAGUUUACUCUCCCCAUGUGGAAGUGUUACAUAAUCUCUGUGUAAGGCAGGUCAUUUUAGGUUAGGGAAAGGUUGUGUCUCUGCCCUGCCGUCAGUGCAGUAUCUCGGUUAAUCAGAACUGGAGCUGCUCUUCCUGUGUGUGCUGCAGUGCUGACAUGGCACUGCUCCCUCCUAAUUCUCUUCUAAAGAAGUUCAUUGACAUUUUUAUUAGCUGGCUGGCUUUGCUGAAGUUGAUGUCCUUGCCUCUGGCCAUCACAAAUAUUUUCUUUUUUUUUUUUCUUUUGAUUUACUUCGGAAGAUGUUGAGGUCUGAAGACCCCACUGUGAUAAAGCAUAUAUAUUUAUAUACAUGUCAGAGGUAACUCUGCAGGUAGCUUUUAUAUUGUAAAAUAUUCCUUCCCAUAUAGAUUGUCAACCUGUUUUAUUCUCUUGGCAUCACUACACUUUCCUGCCAUAAACUGUUCUAUUGAUUGGGUUUGAACGCUGCUCAUCCUGUUUGGAUUAUCUGCAGCCUCUGCAGACAGACCUGAACCAAGGUGUGCUGAUGUAACUUGCCUGAGCUUCAGAGAUUCAACCCUCACGGGUCUUCUGGGAGCUUCCAAAGUCAUUGGGUCCACCUGGCACCUUGACAUCUCUUAACCAGUUAAUUUUAGGUUAUCUACCUGCUUGUGCAGAGGCUGGUUUGUACUGGUGGGCAGUGGUCACGCAUCUGCAGCUGCAACACAAAGCCUGCAAAAUGGUCUUCAGCUGUCUUUGGAUGCUCACCUUGUAUCCUAAAGACAUGUUGGAACUGGAAACAGAAGAGAGAGGCAUUGGCUGUAUUGAUGUGUUAGUUUGCUCAAGUCAUCCAAACUUUAUUUUAAGUUGUCUAAACAAGCACUAUAAACCCUUUCACAGCUAUGUAUUUUUAGUUGUGAUUAAAAUAAUCAGAUAAUAAAACUAGCUAAAGUAGAAAUCCACACGA
This is a long non-coding RNA of Lepidothrix coronata (blue-crowned manakin), 2288 nucleotides long. RefSeq lists it as uncharacterized. NCBI's taxonomy places the organism in Eukaryota, Metazoa, Chordata, Aves, Passeriformes, Pipridae. The transcript has 2 exons. The record is from RefSeq and is a predicted model, not a curated record.